GUGCUUGCUUCAGCGGCACAUACACUAAAAUUGGAAUGGUAUAGAGAAGGUUAGCAUGGCCCCUGUGCAAGGAUGACAUGCAAAUUCAUGAAGUGUUCCAUAUUUUU
Phyllostomus hastatus (greater spear-nosed bat) is the source of this 107-nucleotide small nuclear RNA. The record is from RefSeq and is a predicted model, not a curated record. NCBI's taxonomy places the organism in Eukaryota, Metazoa, Chordata, Mammalia, Chiroptera, Phyllostomidae.